GACGAACGCUGGCGGCGUGCCUAAUACAUGCAAGUCGAACGAGAGCGACCGGUGCUUGCACUGGUCAAUCUAGUGGCGAACGGGUGAGUAACACGUGGGUAACCUGCCCAUCAGAGGGGGAUAACAUCCGGAAACGGAUGCUAAAACCGCAUAGGUCUUCGAACCGCAUGGUUUGAAGAGGAAAAGAGGCGCAAGCUUCUGCUGAUGGAUGGACCCGCGGUGCGUUAGCUAGUUGGUGAGGUAACGGCUCACCAAGGCCGUGAUGCAUAGCCGACCUGAGAGGGUGAUCGGCCACAUUGGGACUGAGACACGGCCCAAACUCCUACGGGAGGCAGCAGUAGGGAAUCUUCCGCAAUGGACGCAAGUCUGACGGAGCAACGCCGCGUGAGUGAAGAAGGUUUUCGGAUCGUAAAACUCUGUUGUUAGAGAAGAACAAGUGCUAGAGUAACUGUUAGCGCCUUGACGGUAUCUAACCAGAAAGCCACGGCUAACUACGUG
RNAcentral lists this ribosomal RNA (498 nucleotides) under uncultured bacterium. RNAcentral's name for it is "partial 16S ribosomal RNA". It matches the Rfam family "Bacterial small subunit ribosomal RNA", at positions 28 to 507 of the family's 1533-position model. The record is from RNAcentral.